Non-coding RNA from Acanthosepion pharaonis, 113 nucleotides. The record is from the annotation of a GenBank genome assembly. Lineage: Eukaryota; Metazoa; Mollusca; Cephalopoda; Sepiida; Sepiidae.
UAUGGCUAUAUCACCUUGAAACAUCGGUUCACGUACAAUCAACGAAGUUAAGCAGCGUCGAGCCUGGUCAGUACCGAGAUGGGUGACUGCUUGAGAAUACCAGGUGCUGUAAG